GGUGCAGACACUUGGUUUGCACCGUUGAUUCUUCUCCACCAUAUAGCUAGUUGUUUCAAAUUGACGAUACAAUCUCUGAAUAGUCUGUUUACAUGGAGCCCAUUUUGUAUGAAAGUGUGCACGAAAACGUCUUUGUGUCAUUACAAAAUUCCUCGUUUCUGUAAAAAACAUUAUUACAAUUUUCACCUUCUAUUCAACACUCAAUCUGCUCUUAUGCACCAUCCUGAAAGCUGCUGUUUGGCGCCAAGUAAAUAUUCAAUACUAACUUCUCGGGACAACUACCAGAUUUUCCAUAAACCAGAGUAUAUGAAUAUGAGUUUUCAACAUUCCAUCUAUAAUAUUACAUGUGUAAUGAACAAGACAAGUCGUAUGACAUUUCGUGUGCCACCCUGUAUAUCUCAUCUAG
RNAcentral lists this long non-coding RNA (406 nucleotides) under Androctonus crassicauda. Lineage: Eukaryota; Metazoa; Arthropoda; Arachnida; Scorpiones; Buthidae. The record is from RNAcentral.